UACGGAGGGUGCAAGCGUUAUCCGGAUUCACUGGGUUUAAAGGGUUCGUAGGUGGGUUGGUAAGUCAGUGGUGAAAUCUCCAGGCUUAACUUGGAAACUGCCAUUGAUACUAUCAAUCUUGAAUACCGUGGAGGUCAGCGGAAUAUGUCAUGUAGCGGUGAAAUGCUUAGAUAUGACAUAGAACACCAAUUGCGAAGGCAGCUGGCUACACGAAUAUUGACACUGAUGCACGAAAGCGUGGGGAUCAAACAGG
Molecule: ribosomal RNA, 253 nt
Filed under: uncultured bacterium
Lineage: Bacteria
Description: partial 16S ribosomal RNA
Rfam family: Bacterial small subunit ribosomal RNA
Source: RNAcentral